UGCAGUCGAGGGGCAGCACGGUGUAGCAAUACACGGGUGGCGACCGGCGCACGGGUGAGUAACGCGUAUGCAACCUGCCUACUACAAGGGGAUAACCCGUUGAAAGACGGACUAAUACCCUAUAACACAGGGGAUCCGCAUGGAUAUAUUUGUUAAAGAUUUAUCGGUAGUAGAUGGGCAUGCGUUCCAUUAGCUUGUUGGUGAGGUAACGGCUCACCAAGGCAACGAUGGAUAGGGGAACUGAGAGGUUGAUCCCCCACACUGGAACUGAGACACGGUCCAGACUCCUACGGGAGGCAGCAGUGAGGAAUAUUGGUCAAUGGACGAGAGUCUGAACCAGCCAAGUCGCGUGAAGGAAGACGGCCCUACGGGUUGUAAACUUCUUUUGUAAGGGAAUAAAUAGUCUUACGCGCUAAGACGUUGCAGGUACCUUACGAAUAAGGAUCGGCUAACUCCGUGCCAGCAGCCGCGGUAAUACGGAGGAUCCGAGCGUUAUCCGGAUUUAUUGGGUUUAAAGGGUGCGCAGGCGGCAUGUUAAGUCGGCGGUGAAAUUUUGCAGCUCAACUGUAAAAGAGCCUUCGAAACUGGCAAGCUUGAGUGUGGAUGAAGUAGGCGGAAUUUGUGGUGUAGCGGUGAAAUGCAUAGAUAUCACAAAGAACACCGAUUGCGCAGGCAGCUUACUAAACCAUAACUGACGCUCAUGCACGAAGGCGUGGGGAUCAAACAGGAUUAGAUACCCUGGUAGUCCACGCAGUAAACGAUGAUUACUGGCUGUUUGCGAUACAAUGUAAGCGGCUGAGCGAAAGCGNUAAGUA
Molecule: ribosomal RNA, 815 nt
Filed under: uncultured Bacteroidota bacterium
Lineage: Bacteria; Pseudomonadati; Bacteroidota
Description: bacterial SSU rRNA
Rfam family: Bacterial small subunit ribosomal RNA
Source: RNAcentral